AGAACCUUACCAAGGCUUGACAUACACCGGAAACGGCCAGAGAUGGUCGCCCCCUUGUGGUCGGUGUACAGGUGGUGCAUGGCUGUCGUCAGCUCGUGUCGUGAGAUGUUGGGUUAAGUCCCGCAACGAGCGCAACCCUUAUCCUGUGUUGCCAGCGCGCCCUUCGGGGUGGCGGGGACUCACGAGGAGACCGCCGGGGUCAACUCGGAGGAAGGUGGGGA
Molecule: ribosomal RNA, 221 nt
Filed under: uncultured Streptomyces sp.
Lineage: Bacteria; Bacillati; Actinomycetota; Actinomycetes; Kitasatosporales; Streptomycetaceae
Description: partial 16S ribosomal RNA
Rfam family: Bacterial small subunit ribosomal RNA
Source: RNAcentral